Molecule: ribosomal RNA, 282 nt
Filed under: uncultured Pseudomonas sp.
Lineage: Bacteria; Pseudomonadati; Pseudomonadota; Gammaproteobacteria; Pseudomonadales; Pseudomonadaceae
Description: partial 16S ribosomal RNA
Rfam family: Bacterial small subunit ribosomal RNA
Source: RNAcentral
AACCCUUGUCCUUAGUUACCAGCACGUUAUGGUGGGCACUCUAAGGAGACUGCCGGUGACAAACCGGAGGAAGGUGGGGAUGACGUCAAGUCAUCAUGGCCCUUACGGCCUGGGCUACACACGUGCUACAAUGGUCGGUACAAAGGGUUGCCAAGCCGCGAGGUGGAGCUAAUCCCAUAAAACCGAUCGUAGUCCGGAUCGCAGUCUGCAACUCGACUGCGUGAAGUCGGAAUCGCUAGUAAUCGUGAAUCAGAAUGUCACGGUGAAUACGUUCCGGGCCUU